Molecule: ribosomal RNA, 409 nt
Filed under: Actinomycetes bacterium
Lineage: Bacteria; Bacillati; Actinomycetota; Actinomycetes
Description: Actinobacteria bacterium partial 16S ribosomal RNA
Rfam family: Bacterial small subunit ribosomal RNA
Source: RNAcentral
UGGGGAAUAUUGCACAAUGGGCGGAAGCCUGAUGCAGCGACGCCGCGUGGGGGAUGAAGGCCUUCGGGUUGUAAACUCCUUUCGACAGGGACGAAGCUUUUGUGACGGUACCUGUAUAAGAAGCACCGGCUAACUACGUGCCAGCAGCCGCGGUAAUACGUAGGGUGCGAGCGUUGUCCGGAAUUACUGGGCGUAAAGAGCUCGUAGGUGGUUUGUCGCGUCGUCUGUGAAAUUCCGGGGCUUAACUCCGGGCGUGCAGGCGAUACGGGCUGACUUGAGUGCUGUAGGGGAGACUGGAAUUCCUGGUGUAGCGGUGAAAUGCGCAGAUAUCAGGAGGAACACCGAUGGCGAAGGCAGGUCUCUGGGCAGUAACUGACGUUGAGGAGCGAAAGCAUGGGUAGCGAACAGG